Molecule: unclassified non-coding RNA, 385 nt
Filed under: Artemisia sieberi
Lineage: Eukaryota; Viridiplantae; Streptophyta; Magnoliopsida; Asterales; Asteraceae
Description: partial external transcribed spacer
Source: RNAcentral
GAGUGGUGUUUGGUUUGUUACGUGUGGUUGGCUGCGGCGUUUGCAACAACUUCCAUGCUUUCAGACCUCUUCAGUCGUGCGGCAAGGCUUGUAUCACCUUGAGCGUAUUGUGGGUUUUCUGUGUUGGCUACCUAAUCAAUGGUAUCGGUUGGAUUGAUCAAUGUUUCAUUUCGUCUAUCGUCGCAUUCGCGGCGUGAGAUGAACCUUGAUGCGGUCUCUUUGAUCCACCUCGUCGAAGCGCAUGCUUUGGCGUUGUGGCACAUUGAGCAUUGCUUGGUCUCUUGUAUACGGAACAUAUAGUGGGCAUGGAUCUAACGAUUCUCGUUUGCCCUCAUAUUAGCGUAACGCUUCUCUUACACGACUUGCACCACGUUUUAGCUCGUAC